AGAGUUUGAUCAUGGCUCAGAUUGAACGCUGGCGGCAGGCCUAACACAUGCAAGUCGAGCGGUAGCACAGAGAGCUUGCUCUCGGGUGACGAGCGGCGGACGGGUGAGUAAUGUCUGGGAAACUGCCUGAUGGAGGGGGAUAACUACUGGAAACGGUAGCUAAUACCGCAUAAUGUCGCAAGACCAAAGUGGGGGACCUUCGGGCCUCAUGCCAUCAGAUGUGCCCAGAUGGGAUUAGCUAGUAGGUGGGGUAACGGCUCACCUAGGCGACGAUCCCUAGCUGGUCUGAGAGGAUGACCAGCCACACUGGAACUGAGACACGGUCCAGACUCCUACGGGAGGCAGCAGUGGGGAAUAUUGCACAAUGGGCGCAAGCCUGAUGCAGCCAUGCCGCGUGUGUGAAGAAGGCCUUCGGGUUGUAAAGCACUUUCAGCGGGGAGGAAGGCGGUGAGGUUAAUAACCUCAUCGAUUGACGUUACCCGCAGAAGAAGCACCGGCUAACUCCGUGCCAGCAGCCGCGGUAAUACGGAGGGUGCAAGCGUUAAUCGGAAUUACUGGGCGUAAAGCGCACGCAGGCGGUCUGUCAAGUCGGAUGUGAAAUCCCCGGGCUCAACCUGGGAACUGCAUUCGAAACUGGCAGGCUAGAGUCUUGUAGAGGGGGGUAGAAUUCCAGGUGUAGCGGUGAAAUGCGUAGAGAUCUGGAGGAAUACCGGUGGCGAAGGCGGCCCCCUGGACAAAGACUGACGCUCAGGUGCGAAAGCGUGGGGAGCAAACAGGAUUAGAUACCCUGGUAGUCCACGCCGUAAACGAUGUCGAUUUGGAGGUUGUGCCCUUGAGGCGUGGCUUCCGGAGCUAACGCGUUAAAUCGACCGCCUGGGGAGUACGGCCGCAAGGUUAAAACUCAAAUGAAUUGACGGGGGCCCGCACAAGCGGUGGAGCAUGUGGUUUAAUUCGAUGCAACGCGAAGAACCUUACCUGGUCUUGACAUCCACAGAACUUUCCAGAGAUGGAUUGGUGCUUCGGGAACUGUGAGACAGGUGCUGCAUGGCUGUCGUCAGCUCGUGUUGUGAAAUGUUGGGUUAAGUCCCGCAACGAGCGCAACCCUUAUCCUUUGUUGCCAGCGGUUCGGCCGGGAACUCAAAGGAGACUGCCAGUGAUAAACUGGAGGAAGGUGGGGAUGACGUCAAGUCAUCAUGGCCCUUACGACCAGGGCUACACACGUGCUACAAUGGCAUAUACAAAGAGAAGCGACCUCGCGAGAGCAAGCGGACCUCAUAAAGUAUGUCGUAGUCCGGAUUGGAGUCUGCAACUCGACUCCAUGAAGUCGGAAUCGCUAGUAAUCGUAGAUCAGAAUGCUACGGUGAAUACGUUCCCGGGCCUUGUACACACCGCCCGUCACACCAUGGGAGUGGGUUGCAAAAGAAGUAGGUAGCUUAACCUUCGGGAGGGCGCUUACCACUUUGUGAUUCAUGACUGGGGUGAAGUCGUAACAAGGUAACCGU
RNAcentral lists this ribosomal RNA (1502 nucleotides) under Klebsiella sp. RS 4. RNAcentral's name for it is "bacterial SSU rRNA". It matches the Rfam family "Bacterial small subunit ribosomal RNA". Lineage: Bacteria; Pseudomonadati; Pseudomonadota; Gammaproteobacteria; Enterobacterales; Enterobacteriaceae. The record is from RNAcentral.